GGAGAGGUCGCAUAGUCCGGUCUAGUGCGCACGAUUGGAAAUCGUGUAGGUGUAAAAGCCUCGAGGGUUCGAAUCCCUCCCUCUCCG
This 87-nucleotide transfer RNA is filed under the name Anaerolineae bacterium. RNAcentral describes it as "tRNA-Ser". It matches the Rfam family "tRNA". Rfam says of the family: Transfer RNA (tRNA) molecules are approximately 80 nucleotides in length. RNAcentral also lists the same sequence under 1 other name. The record is from RNAcentral. Lineage: Bacteria; Bacillati; Chloroflexota; Anaerolineae.